Molecule: long non-coding RNA, 6569 nt
Filed under: Arachis ipaensis
Lineage: Eukaryota; Viridiplantae; Streptophyta; Magnoliopsida; Fabales; Fabaceae
Description: long non-coding RNA (AIPA_LNC000395)
Source: RNAcentral
AAUAAACAAAAACAGGAAACUGUGGUAAAAAAGAAAGAGUGCUCCUAAUCCAUUGCCAUAGCUUUAAUAUAAUUAGUGUGUAUGCACAAUAGAACAAAUAAAUAUGCUUUUGCCUCAAUGUAUACAAAUAAGUCAUAUGAUAUCCUGUUCAUAUAUAUAUUUCUAAACUCCUUCCCACCAGUCCCACCCGAGAGCUCAGAUAAAAUCAUUAUCUCAUUAAGAAGCACCACGCCAAUAGAAUCAAACGCAAUUACUCAAAAAAUAGAAUCUCCUACUUUUAGAAUUGAAUUCAUUUCUCAUUAAUUUCAGUCAAUCCUGAUCAAUCAGCAUUGAUAGUAGAACAGAAAAAACCUGAAAAGGAGGGCAUAAAACGUGUAAGGAUAGGAUUUAUAUGUAUGUAAUAUAAUGAUAAUGAGGGGGUGACGAAGUCCACUAUUUAGUCACGAAUUUAAGUAAAUCCGCAUGAUGGUCCCUGAGAUUUGGGUCGUUACUCAAUGUGGUCCCUGAGAUUUCAAUUGUACCAUUGUAAUCCUUCAGAUACGGCUCCGGGCACUAUAAUAGUCCCUAGACAGCUUUCCGGUGAUGAGUCAUCACCGACGAUCUGAUGUGUCACGAAGUUACCACGUUGGAGAGAGCCAAAAUGUUGGCGUUUUGGUUUGGCGCCCCAUUUUGUUAAAAACGUCGUCCAAAAUGAAAAUAUUAAACGGACUUGAUCAAACACAUACCCUCCCUUCACUCGUCUUAUCCACUUCCACUCUCUAUCUUCUUCUUUUCUUCUUCUUCUUCCUCCUCUCUUCAUCAAUGUUGCUACCUUAGGGUUCCAUUGGAGAUUGAAAUUCUUGCACUCAGAAGACAUCAAAAUCAGGUCUCACUUUGUCGUUCGUCUCCUCCUACGUCAGAAACAAGAGGUUCUGCCGUUAGUAAAGGUAAUUUUUUUUAUUCUUUUUUUGCAAUGCAUGAUGAUUUUUGUAUAUGCUUGUGUUGUGAGUGUGGUUGGUGUUAUGUUUUUUUUUUCUGUUACUAUAGUUCUAGAGUUUGAUUAGGUUGGGAUUUCAUGAGAUGCUCUGUUUGAUUAUGGUGUUGUGUUAUUGUCUCUUCUUUGGGCAGACAGCAUUCAUCGUUAACAAAGGUUUAGCAAGUUUACAUUUGAUUGAUUUGGGUUUAGGGUAACAAUAAGUGUUAACUAGUGGAAGGUUUACUUACUGAAAAAAAAGUUGAAAAUCAUGCUCUGUUUCAUGGUCAUGAGUGUUCUGUUUGAUAAAACUCUUAUCUAUUGAUGUCUAUUAUAUGAGUGAGUGCAAUGACUUGUAAUGUAGACAAUACUAUAAAUAUUUUUGCUGCAAUACUAUAAAUACGACAUUUUUAACAAAAUGGGACAUUCAAACCCACUAGUAGCAUUCAGCCUACCAAGCCUAUCAAGACCACCCAAAACACCAAAACAGAUAAAACCAACAAGUCCAAACAGCCCAACAAAAGUAGUAUAUCUAGGAGACCUUGUACAAGGUCUGCUACUAGAGGAUUCCAAAGCAAAGUUUUUAAUAUUGAGAUUCCUUUCGAGGUGUCUUCUGACUCUUAUGAGAGCGUAGAAGAUAGUCUUUUUAAGCCAAAUCUUAAUGAAGACAGCUCUUUUGAAUCAAAUACUGGGGUGAAGAAUGUCAACAGUGGGAGUAGGAGUAGGGUGAAGAAUGUUGGUCCUCUAGCUAAAGGAAAGGAGAAGAUUCUGGUUGAGGAUGAUGCAUUUGUACAAGAAGUUAGUGACAAAGAAGUGGAGGUGGUUCGAAUGUUCGUAAUGCAGACCAUAGUCAAGAACAAGGUGAAACUAAACAAUCACAUUGGAGUGCUCACACCGGUUAUAAAGAGUCGAUUGGAGAAAGUUAGAAAAGAAUCUAAGAAUUGGAAGCCUAUUUGGACAGGGCACAACGGAUACGAAAAGUUUGAGGUGCAUGGACACCCAACUAAUCAUGUGGUGGACUUAGGAAAAAGAUUAUGUACUUGCCAAUUUUGGAUGCUUACAGGUUAUUUGCAUUAUUAUAAUACUUGUUUUUGUGCUAUAUUAAUAAUCUGAUUAAUGGUAUAUGAGUAAAACCCAUGGUUGCUAUGGCUGUUGUUCAUAUGCAGGUAUUCCUUGUGUGCAUGCAUGUGUUGCACUGCCUUGAGUUAACAAGCCACCAAAAGACUUUUGUCACCGCUUGCUAAUGAUGGAGUCAUACAGAAAAAUAUAUAAUCAUCAUAUUAAUCCAAUUCCUGGACAACCAUUAUGCGAGCAUGCAGAAGAAUGUAACAGGCCACGUGCACCAAAAAUAAAGAAGAAACCUGAAAAACUACAGAUGAAGAGAAGGAUGGAUGCUGAUGAGAAGGGUGGUGGAGGAUCUAAAAACUCUAAAGUUGAUCCCAAGCCUUAGAGUAACAAUGAAGAUAAUGUUCAUCUAAAGAGGCAGUUGGACCCUUUUACUUAUAGUUUCUGUGGUGAUAAAGGACAUACAAAGAAAGGUUGCAUGAAGAAGAAAGCUUGUGAUACUACUGCAGCUGCUGUAGCUGUUGCAGUUACUGCUGCUGUUGCUAAGGCUGAUAAGAAGAAGAAAAAUGAAGGAGGUGCGCCUGCAUCUGAGCAGCAACUUCAGCAGCCUCAAGAUGAUGGUGACCAAUGUGAUGGAGAAGACAAUCCUCUUGUGCAGUCUAUUGAGAUUGCACCAACCACUUCUGAUGUACAACCUGUAGAGAUAGAUAUAUCUCAGCCAACUGCUUCUGAUGUAGAAUAUUCUCAAAAGGUAACUUCCUAUUUAUAUUUCUUAAAUUUUUUUGUGAUUCAAGUGAAUCAUCCUUUAUGUGUAAUGUAAAUUUUUUUCAUCUAGGAUUAUGGAAUAAAAAGGCCUUUAAAAUUAUCACCAAGGAGAAUAUCCUCUUCACUAGCAACCUCUGUCCCAGUGAAUCCCAUGCAGGGUGCUAGUUCAGGAACUGCAACAAGACUUGUCAAUUACAUGAAGUUCAUCGCAACUCCAAGAUUUAAGGCUCCAAGAAAGAAGAAUUGAAGACUUUAGCUUAAUAUGUAUAGGGCUUUCUGUUUUGAGUUUAAAACUUUUCACUAAACAAAGACUACACAAGAAAAAAACAAUCCUUUAUGUUUUGCUAUAAAGCCCUCUCUUUUGAGGUAACUUUGUUUAACAUGCUCAUGUUAGUUAGCUGCCCUUUGUGUUAUGUGACUGACUGUGUUAAGUUGAACUAUUAUCUUAAUACACUUAUCUUUUAAGUUUGAACCAUUAUCUUAGUACAGCGCUUGCUGGUUUUCAAUCACUUACGCUGCCUUCUUUAGCAUAUUACUAUUUUCAUUAAUUGAGUUACCCAAGUUUACAUUCCAUCAACAAACACCAUUCAUCAGUUUCUAAUACUAUAAUCAUGUUAUCAUUUUUUUACAUAUUAUUCAUUCAAUGAAUACAGGGUACACACCACCAACUCUUUUAACUCAUGCUUUACAAUAUAGGAUAACCAUUAACACUAUCAAUACAGACACAGCUAAUACCAACAAUUAGUUAACCAAUUUUUGAUUCCGAACAUGUUCUUCUAAUCUCCCAAGCCUCUAAUCAAAGUUCAUCUUCACUUCAUGAUUGUCUCCAUAAGAUUCUGGUUUCUCAAUUGGUUCAUCCUGCCCAAUGUCUGCCCAUGUAAAAAGUCUACAUCAUCUCUUUCCACUUGUCUAUAAUCAAGCAAACAUAUAACAUGCUCAAGCUUCAGGAAAGAAGAACAAGAGAAGAACAGUGAGGUAGGUAGGAGCAAUCAUAACACAAGUAAUACUGAUAACUCACAUUAUAAUUAGGACAACCAAAAAUGGUUUAUUUAGGUUUAAAUCUAUCCUAGACCACCUGAGAACUAGCCGGCAGCCGCAACCACACCAUUCUGGCAGCCCAGAUCUUCUGCUCCUACUUUACAUUCUCGUCUGAUGGCCACUGGACGGUGAACUAAUAAAGCUUCCAACUCUAGUGCUCCCACCACCCAUCAUGGAUAUUCGCUUCCAGCUCCAGGAACAAUAGCAACAACAAGAAUGGGAAGAGAACGAUGAAGAAGAAGAAGAAAUUAACUUACUGAACAUUUGGGAAUUUAGGGUUAAAUAUAGAGGGAGGGACCACAUUGAGUAUAAAUUGAAACUAUGCUAGCUCAACUAGCCGUUGACACCAUUCAGCGUGGCAAAAUAAGGCCAUGUUAGCAUCUUGAUGAUGACUCAUCACUGGAAAGCUGUCCAGGGACUACCAUAGUGUCCGGAGCCGUAUCUGGAGAAUUACAAUAGUGCAAUUGGGAUCUCAGGGACCACAUUGAGCAACAACCCAAGUCUCAGGGACCAUUAUAGGAAUUUACUCAAGUCUUCAAGAUUUGGAAAGUAGGAAAACAUAGUGACCCACAGAAUAAUGUUGCAAAUAAUGGGGGGGAACCCCAACUCUCUUUUCAUGACCUAAUAUCACUAUGGAUUUACCUUUGUUAGGAAUAGCCAGACAUAUUCCACUCAUUCUUGCUUCUGGAAUACCAUAAAUGUGUACCCUUUUGUCACUGCUGCCAGUAACUCAGGCCUCUUGUCCGAAUGCACGGGCCAACAUUGCUCGAUUAAAGCGCACAUUGCAGGUGGGCAAUCGGAAGGAAUAGCAGGCCUUGAAUUCUGAAUAAAUACAAAUAUCACAGAAGUGUUAAAAUUACUUGGGCAAAUCCUCUAGUUUGAAGUGUCAUAAUAACAGAGAAGGAAAAUCUACGAACAAGAAGGUCGAUCACCCUCAAAUUUAAUAAGCUCCAUUCAUGGUAAUCGUAUAAGCUAGAAUGAAAAAAGCCACUUGUGUAAAUUCAUAAUGCAAGUUAAUUCAUUUUCUAACUAGUGGACCUUACCUGCCAACUUUGCCAAGUAUAAAUGAAUAUAAUUUCUACCACUUCACCACUAUUUUAAAAGUCAUGCAGUCAAAGAGGUACCUCACCUAGGAAUUUUGCUACAAAAUAUAGUGUGCUUUCAGGGCAUCAAUGGGAUAUAAACAUAGACUAAAAAAGUGUAAACAAUCGUCUUAAAGAUUAGAGGAAGCUUAGAAAAAAUAAGAAAAUGUUUUAACCAAUGAAUCAUAUGUAUUUAGCUAAUGUUUGUACCAACCAAAGACAUGUAAUAAACAGCAAAUCAUUGAAAAGAAUGAACAACCAUACAAAUCUGACCUGCUCUAAACAUAACUAAGCAUGAUAUUACACAGUAAAUCAUAAAAAAAAAAGGAGAAAUAAUAAUUUCUAGCAACGAUCUCCCUUUAACAUUCAUUUUCAUGUACUAAGUGAUUAUUUAGCAAGACAACAAUAUAUUCAAGAUUCAAUCACUAAUAUAUUCAACUCACAUUUCCAGCAACAAAAACAUUUAGCUAAGUAAUUAUUUGAGCAAGACAGCAACAAAUUUAAGCUUCAUUGAUGAUAAUCAGUACAAAAUUCAUCUUAGUGAUGAUUUUAAGCAAUAAAGAAACUAGCUCAACAAAUUAUUCAUGGUUCAGUGGUAAUAAAUAGUAACAAAUUCACGUCAAUGAUGAUUUUCAACAAACAUAAAAACUUGUUCAGUGAUAUUUUCAGUAACAAAUUUCAGCACCAAAUUAAAAUCAAAGUGCAGUGAUGAAUUAGGGCAACAAAACUAAAAAAAUACCAGAGAACAACGACCAACCUCGGGACCGGCUACUUCUGCCGCCGGCAACGACGAGCGCGAGAAGGCACACGACUAAGUGCGAGACGAUGAGGAGCCAUGGAGCGACGAUGACGACUAGUCCUGAGACUGGGUUCUUCUGCCGCCGGCGACAACGAGCUCAGGGAAGGCAUGCGAGCGUGACUGAGUGCGAGAUGGUGACGACUGGUGACACGAAGAACGACAAAAACUUUGAGUGCGAGACCAGAGACGAGAGAGGGAAAAAGCUUGAGAUCGCGAGAGCUAGUGAGCAUAGAGAUGAGAUGAAGGAGAUGCUGAUUGCUGAGAGCUGGGGCUUUUUUGGGGUCAGAUUGAGAGAUUAGUGAGACAUUGAGAUUGGGCUUAGCUUGGCUUGGGUUUGGGUUAGCAAGGAUCUAGGGUUAGAUUUUAUUUUUUAAAGACUUAAUUGUAAUUUUAAAUUUUUAUGAAUCUAAAUGUCUAAAAAAUAAAAAUUUAAAGAUAUAUUUGUUAAUUUGAUAAAAAAAAAUUUAAAUAUAAUUCGGUUCAAAUUAUGUAAACCAAUCGAAUUGAAUCGGAUCUAAUAGUUAUAAUAAACAGAUUUUAUUCUGGUUUAUUAAAAAUAUUUAAUUGACCAGUUUAAUAAUUCGUCCAAUAAUAAUAUAACAUGUGUAACGUCUUUAAAAAAAGACAUUUCUAAUGUCUUUAUCAAAGUGACCGCCUUACCAAAAAUGGUGGUCAUGCCUAUGAUCUUCAGCUCUGAACUCUCAAAUGCCAUCAUAAUUGCAAUGCUAUCAUCUUAGUAUUUUAAAAAAAAAAAAGGGGGUCAAAAUUCAUUAUGACAAUUAUUUGAAGAGAUUCUUAUAAUAUUAUACUUGGUCUACCAACUCUCAACUUCAAAAAUAAUUCUGUUAUUUACUUUUUACUUAUAAGC